Molecule: non-coding RNA, 468 nt
Organism: Pantherophis guttatus
Lineage: Eukaryota; Metazoa; Chordata; Lepidosauria; Squamata; Colubridae
Source: RefSeq, a predicted model, not a curated record
GGCUUUAUGGGAAAAGCUGAACUCAAAGUCACAGUCUCCAAAGUUCUAAUGUAUUACCUUUAACCCGGACUAUAUCAAACUGGCCUUCAAUGGUUUGCUUUAAUACCCUCCUCCAGGGUGAAGAAAUGAUCAUCACAAAGUUGCUACAUCAGACUUGCAGAGGAAACAGAAACGGGAGACUGGCAUUCAGUUAUGAGCUUUGCAGUGCACUCUUCCAGCACAGGUAGAAAGAUGGCAGGGCCACCUAACUCCACAAGGAUUCAAGGCAGCUUACACAUAAAAAAUAAAACUAAAAACAAGAGAACCAGAAGACAAAACCCAAAAUACCUAAGAACAAAAAACCAAAUCAAAGGAGCUCAACCACCAUCCUAAUCCAAGGCAUGAGAGAACAACCAAAUUUUAUGCAGUUUGUUCAAUGUUGAGUGGGAGUGUUAUAAAUUUAUAGGGGGCAUUUUUCCUCAAGGCAAG